GCCUUGCUAGCUCAACGGUAGGGCGUGAGACUCUUAUAGUCCCUCUGAUCGGGUAAGAGCCUUAAGGUUGCGGGUUCGACUCCCGUGCGAGGCA
Hysterangium stoloniferum is the source of this 94-nucleotide non-coding RNA. NCBI's taxonomy places the organism in Eukaryota, Fungi, Basidiomycota, Agaricomycetes, Hysterangiales, Hysterangiaceae. The record is from the annotation of a GenBank genome assembly.